Myodes glareolus (Bank vole) is the source of this 107-nucleotide small nuclear RNA. NCBI's taxonomy places the organism in Eukaryota, Metazoa, Chordata, Mammalia, Rodentia, Cricetidae. The record is from RefSeq and is a predicted model, not a curated record.
GUGCUCGCUUCGGCAGCACAUAUACUAAAACUGGAACAAUACAGAGAAGAUUAGCAUGGCCCCAGUGCAAGGAUGACACUGAAAUCCGUGAAGCGUUCCAUUUUUUU